AUAUCUCUCCGUACGGGAAGGAUGAGAAGCUUCGACUAAGGUUCGAUUCGAGCGAAAGCGAGAAAGCGUUGCCGCAGGCAACGACCC
This 87-nucleotide small RNA is filed under the name Salmonella enterica. Its description in RNAcentral is "partial RtT sRNA". It matches the Rfam family "RtT RNA", at positions 1 to 85 of the family's 130-position model. Rfam says of the family: This family represents a bacterial cis-regulatory element known as RtT RNA. The exact function of RtT is unknown although it is thought that it may be involved in changing the cellular response in relation to amino acid starvation. The record is from RNAcentral. Lineage: Bacteria; Pseudomonadati; Pseudomonadota; Gammaproteobacteria; Enterobacterales; Enterobacteriaceae. RNAcentral also lists the same sequence under 1 other name.